Molecule: small RNA, 940 nt
Filed under: Pongo abelii (Sumatran orangutan)
Lineage: Eukaryota; Metazoa; Chordata; Mammalia; Primates; Hominidae
Description: retained intron
Source: RNAcentral
CCAGUCUGGGCAACAAGAGUGAAACUCCGUCUCAAAAAAAAAAAAAGGAAUGGAUGCUAUCCAUCACCUCAUCUCGUGCGGCCCUUUCCUGGCUGCCUUACAGGAAGAGUGAAUUUGGGGCAGCACGUUGUCUUUAUCCUUUCCUCUUUCUUCUUUUCACCAGUCCUCCAGCGGUUGUGGGGCACCCAGGAUGUAUCCCAAGACAUCCAGGAGAUGAAAGAUGAGAGUGCAAGGAUGUCACAAGAAAAGCAAGUCACCGUGCUGGAGCUCUUUAGAGUGUCCAGCUACCGACAGCCCAUCAUCAUUUCCAUUGUGCUGCAGCUCUCUCAGCAGCUCUCUGGGAUCAAUGCUGUGUUCUAUUACUCAACAGGAAUCUUCAAGGAUGCAGGUGUUCAAGAGCCCAUCUAUGCCACCAUCGGCGCGGGUGUGGUUAAUACUAUCUUCACUGUAGUUUCUGUAAGUUGGAUGGUUUGGUAAUUUUGGGGGGAGAAAAGAAUCCUUGCUACAGAUGUUCAAAUAUGGAUUGCAUGACCCCACCAUCAUUUAGUUACCUUUUUGUUGUUUAAUUUUCCUUUGGGAAAAAGAGAUACAUUUAAUGUUGGAUGUAGUCUUCACUCCUCAAGCAAAUAUGGGAUGGAUGGGAAAGGAGGGAGUAUAGAAGGGACUAUAUAGUAUGCUUUGAACUUGGAAUUGGAGGAGAGGUGUUUGGAAAAACUCUCAAACUCUGUUAUUCCACUAUUUUUACACUAAAACAACAAUAAUCAACAGAAGAUAUCUGUGAUCCCCAGAAUAUGUGAGAAUUCUUUCCCCAUGAGGUGGGCAAUCAGUUCUGUAGUGGACACCAUCUAGGUGUCCUGCGAUUUAAUUAUGACACUGUCUACCUGGAGAUAGCAUCAGAUCUCACAGGUUGGUGGCCCAGUUCCCAAGACUGCCCCCCACU